ACAACGAAGAGUUUGAUCCUGGCUCAGGAUGAACGCUAGCGACAGGCUUAACACAUGCAAGUCGAGGGGCAGCGGGGGAGAGGACUUGUCCUCUCCUGCCGGCGACCGGCGCACGGGUGAGUAACACGUAUGCAACCUGCCCAUUGCAGGGGGAUAAGCGGAAGAAAUUCCGUCUAAUACCGCGUAAUAUCCUCCGGGGACAUCCCCGGGGGAUCAAAGGAGAGAUCCGGCAAUGGAUGGGCAUGCGGCGCAUUAGCUAGUUGGCGGGGUAACGGCCCACCAAGGCGACGAUGCGUAGGGGUUCUGAGAGGAAGGUC
Molecule: ribosomal RNA, 317 nt
Filed under: Muribaculaceae bacterium
Lineage: Bacteria; Pseudomonadati; Bacteroidota; Bacteroidia; Bacteroidales; Muribaculaceae
Description: bacterial SSU rRNA
Rfam family: Bacterial small subunit ribosomal RNA
Source: RNAcentral